RNAcentral lists this long non-coding RNA (5761 nucleotides) under Prunus persica (peach). Its description in RNAcentral is "long non-coding RNA (PPER_LNC008408)". The record is from RNAcentral. Lineage: Eukaryota; Viridiplantae; Streptophyta; Magnoliopsida; Rosales; Rosaceae.
GUGGAAGAAGCUGAAACGCAAUUCAGUUGGCUGCUUUUGUUUACAGCAAUAGCACUUCUGCUUCUUGUUAAGUUGCUGUCUUUUCUGGAUCCUGAUUGGUUCUUCUCCUUGUUUCCAUGGGGAAGCCGCAGGAUAGCCUACCAUGAACCUUCAGAGGGAAGCUCACCAUGGGGUGUUGCUGCUUUCAUUGUGCUCCUGCUAGUUUUGCUGCAAUACCAGUCUAUUUUCCGGGACAGCUGGCUCAUUAAAAAAUAAAAAAUAAAAAAUAAAAAAAGGUUGUGUGUAUAUGUAGUAGUUGUUGUAUAUAAUGGAAUAUGAUCUUCUACUUUAUAAUUUCUGUACUGAUAUUGUGAAAUAGAUUAUACUCGUGUUUUAUUUUCAUAUCAAGAGCCAUAUGUUGAGUUGAAAUUGAAUCUUCAAUGAUUUUCCAUGUGGGUUUUGAAUCCUCUAUUUGAUGUUUCUUUUUUCCUAGUGGUUUCAUUAGGCUAAUUUGAUUGCUUGGAAGUAAUAAUUCUAUUAUGGAGUUACAAUAGUAUUUCAGUUACAAUAGUUAAUCCUACUAAUGAUAGGAAAUGGUCAGUUGUCAGUUACGUUGUUAUUGGGCCAUAACUCCAUAUUUAUGUUUGUGAUAAUGACUUGUUGUAAUUGUAGAUUAUUCUCUACAGACUUUAUAUAUAUUGUAUAAUAAUCAUAUGAAUAAUAUUUAUGGAAAAUCAGUUUCUUCAUGGUAUCAGAGCUAAUGGCUAACGCUGACUAGCGAUCCUCCAGUUGCCAACAUUGAGAGUCGUUGGCGCUCCUCACUCUUCACCCAUAAGGGUGUUUGUAUGUAUAGUGUUUUUUCCUUUCUUCUUCUCAAAGAUGAAUAUGUUUUUUCUUUCCACCUUAGCUGUAGCCGCACCUUUAUUUUACCACUACAACCCUUUCUUCUGUUAGCUCGUUAUUUUUGUGUCUUCGCUGCGCCGUCUUCAUUGUGGACCGUCUCCUCCAUUGAGCUCUCUCGUGGCAACCCAUGGCAGCUCCAUUUAUGUCCCUUGGCCAUGAUGGCGAGAUUUCUGUUUCCUCUGCUAGCCUUGUCACCGCUCACCGAGUCUUCUCCUCGCCGGCUUUUAUCUCUCUCAUGUCAUGCUAUCCUGCCGUUGUUGUUCUCUUACACAGCCACUGCCUGUCCCUCUUUUGGCUCGCUAGCCCCUUGUUAUCCAUCAAUGUUGGGCCACUGCUCUCUGUUGAAACCGAGCAAAAAAAAAAAAACUUUUCCUUUCCCUCAAAGAUCACACCUCUCUAUCGUUGGUUUCUCCACUUGAAAUCUCUCUCCACUUCUUCGUCUCUCUCGCCGAGCUAUCUCUCUUCCCUCCACGAGCCUUAUCCUAGUCUGCAAUCGUGGGUUCUCUCUCUCAUGUAUUUCUGAUGGUUUCUCUAUCGUGGUUUCCAUACUUUCCCUUUGUUUGUUGAUGCUGCCUGUCAUCGCUCAUCGAGUAGUCUCUUUUUCUCCGCGAGCCUCGUCAACGCUUGCCGAGCCUUAAUGUCCAAAGCUACAAGUUACACAAACUUGAGAUUCAAGCUAAGUGGUCAUUGUAACUUCUAGAUAUAUAAAUUCUUUAAAAAUGUUUUUAUUACCAAAGCUAUUCUUAUUGAUUCACUAUUGUUUUAACAUUUGUAAAGUCUUAAAGAUUUAUUUGUUUCUUUUCUUACUUUUGAUUGCCAAAGAAAAUUCGUAGUCUCCGAUCAAAAGUAAUAUAUACCAAGGUAUAUCGAGAGGUCUAAGAAGAAAAAGAUAACUCUUUGUAAACCCUAGCAUCUCCCUUCUCUCUCAACCCUUUUUGCGAUGUGUGUUCUUGGAGGGAGGAAGAAGGCCACUCCUCCUCUCUCCCUCUCUCCCCCCUUAGAGCAUCACUAGUGGUUGGGUGUAUAAUGGGGUAUAUAGCACAUUUACACCUCAUUUGACCAUAAUCAACUGCAAUGCAAGGAUGUAUCCCGCUGCAAAUAUAGCAAGCCACUGUGAGAUGAGAAAAUAGAUGGAAGUGUCCAUCUUUUUUUUUAUAUAUAGAAAUUUAGUUAUAUACCCAAUCUUAGACAUAGUCUUAUAAAGAAACCCUAUAUCAUUUAAAAACUAUAGCUAUCAAAUUUUUUAAUUUAAUAGUUACUUUUUAGUUUAUUUUUGUGUGUUAAAUACCUAUAUUGUCCUUGUACUAUGGAUUUGAGAGAGGAAUAUCAAAUCUGCCAAAAAACUAAAUUUUCCAUAAAACCAAAUAUGCCCAGAUCUGCCAAAAAAACCAAAUUUGCCAAAAAAACCAAAUUAGAUUUAUUUUCUCCUUUCUUGCUGGUGUUGGAGCAAAAUGAGCUUCCAUUGAAGCUCAGUCUCAGGUCCAACUAUAUUCUUCAUCUUUAAUAUACAAUUUUCAAUAUUUCCCCUUCGAUUUUUUGUUCUAAAAUUGUGCUUCUAUAGAUUUUUUUUUUCCGGAUUGUUCAAGACCUCAAACAAACCUUGAUCAGAUGCUCUUAGCUCUACUCCUCAUCUUCGAGCUCUACUCCUCUUUCGCCACAUCAUCGUUGUCGUUGUCGUUGUCGUCGUCGUCGUCGUCGUCGUUUGGUUUGGACUUGAGAUUUUUGAUCUUUUGCUUCAAUUAUGUGUUUCUCUUCGGGUUUUAGUUGAUUUUCGAAAUGUAUUUUAAGCUUUGAUGAUCGAUUUAUCUUUUGUUACUAUUUCAGUUAUGAAUCUCAUUUUUGUUUAACAAUGUAAUUCUAUGACAGAGUAUUAACAAUAUACUUCUAUGACAUAAUAUUAUUAACAAUCUGGGCUCGGCUUGUUUUGAGUUGGUCUGGUUUGUUCUUUCUUCAUCUUUUCUUUGGUGGACAUGUAUUAAAAAUAGCAACAAUCAACAUGACAGUAAACUAGCAGUGUUAUUACCCUAAACUGGAACAUUACAGGGGUAAACAUGCAUUAUAAAUAGGAUGUCAUAGGAAAUAGCAGUGUUAUUACCUUAGACUAGAACAUUACAAUGGUAGAUAUGCAUUAGAAAUAGAAUGUCAUAGGAAACUAGCAGUGUUAUUACCCUAUACUGGAACAUUACAAGAGUACACAUGCAUUAGAAAUAGGAUGUCAUCUGAAACUAGUAUUGUUAUUACCCUAAACUGGAACAUUACAACCAUUAAUCAACAUGACAGUAAACUAGCAAUGUCAUUACCCUAGAUUGGAACAUUACAGCAAUUAAUUAACAUGACAGUAAACUAGCAAUGUUAUUACCCUAGACUGGAUCAUUACAGGGGUAGACAUACAUUAGAAAUAAGAUAUCAUAGGAAACUAGCAGUGUUAUUACCCUAGACUAGAACAUUACAGGGUAAACAUGCAUUAGAAAUAGGAUGUCAUAGGAAAUUAGCAGUGUUAUUACCCUAGACUGAAACAUUACAACCAUUAAUCAACAUGAUAGAAUAGUGAACAUUACAACAAUUAAUCAACAUGACAAUAAAGGUGUGGAACAUUACAGUCAUUAAUUAACAUGACACGUUAAUGAAGCUACGAUUUUCAAGACGUUUUGUUUGUAAUAAAUUAUUUGGGUGUUUUUUUUAUAAAAUUGGGCUGGGCUUGUUUUGGGUGCUAUUUAAGUUUUUUGUGUUGGGUUUCUUUUUAAGUUGAUCAAUGACAGUCAUGUAAUUUAUAAGAACUUAAACACUAAUUUCUUAUGUAGUAAAUGAGUUUUGGGUGUGUUUCUAAAGUGCAUUUCAUGUGAGUUUUUUUAUUUAUAAUUUCAGCCCCUAUUUUGGGUAUAUUAGUGAAGCUCCUUUUUUUUUUUUUUUUUUUUAUAUAUAUCCAGCUAAAUGGGCCCCGUUGUUGAAAAAGCAUGAGAGAGAAUAAGCUUUCAGCGUGGAAAAAUGGGAGAAGCAGAAGAAAAUGUGAUGUGACAUCAAUGCACUAAUGGGGGUUGUAUGAUCCAACGGUGCUGGUGCUUCCAUAUUUGAUUCUAACGGUGCUGAUGCUUCCAUCUUCUGAUUUGCAUCUCCACCCAAUGGAGUAAAAAACACAUUCACACGUCCCGAAUGUGUAAAGGGGAUGUAAAGGUAACUUUAUACCUUCGAAAAUUCACCAUUUCACAGGUGAUGCUCUUAUCUCUCUAUUUAUUUUUCCCAUUCCCCAUAUAUUGGAUUUGAGGUUUUAAUUGUGGGGAGAUUAUUUGUGCCUAGAUCUAUUUUGGAUCUUGGUUUUUUACCCAGAUCUACUUGGAUCUGUAGUUUUGUUGGUUGGUUUUUCGUUGUACGGUGAGUGACUGCUAUCUAGGUGGUGUUCUCUGUCUCAAAGGCGGUAAUGAUGGUUAUGGUGGCGAAGGCAACAACGGUGGUGGUGGCUCAAUUAGUUUUUGGUUAUUGUUUUCUUAUAUUUUGUAAUAAUUGCAUAAACUCUUUGUGAGUUGGGUGUUUGAUUGUUUUCUAGUAUCUACUUGUGUUUUGUACUUGUGAGAAUUUAAAAGUUGUAGUUGUAUUAAAAGAUUUGGGCAAUGUAAUUCAUGUCUGAUUUGUUCAGGCAUGCGAUUUUUAUGUCGAAAUUUCUUUGCCCUUUUGUGGUUACUAUGCUUCCAUAUUUGUAUUAUCCCCUUGCGCAUAUUUGCCCUUAUAAUUGAUGAUAUUUAUCCCUAAUUUAUAAAUACAAUUAUCACUUUUCUCUAUUUAAAAAAAAAAAACUAUAACCUAGUGUUGGAACAUGUGGUUUCGAUUCAGCUUUAAAACUUAAAUAAAAUCUUUCAGUAUUGAAAAUAAAACCUUGUUUCCAUAAAUGGAUCCAUUAAACAAAGUUAUUUAAAGGGAUGUACAUUAUAGAGUUCAAUAUUUCAAACACAUAUGUUAAAUAAAAAGCUACUAAGAAAUUCCUAGUUAUGAAAAACAAAAACAAAACAAUUUAAAUGGUCAAAAGUUUUUGUUUUUCCAAUUUUGCAGAAGAGAUGGUAAAACUUAAAAUAUUUUUUGCCAAUCACUGGAUUUUUAUCUUAGAAUCUUAAAAGUAUCCUCCGUUUUUUUAUUUUUUAUUUAUUUUAAAGAACUAAGUUACAUUUCUUUUUGGCCGGUGUAGAUAUCUUAUUAAGAGCUCUUCUUCGAAAAUCUUAUCUUCUGUGCCUUCUUUUUCUUGUGGCCCCACCCAUGCAUCACACCUCCUCCAUUCCAUUGCAUAAAUGAAACCCCACAAAGACAUUAAGCAAUAAAAAUCCAAGCAAAUAAGAUUAAUUUAUUAGUUGGCUUGUAAAAAGUAAAGCAGACACUUCCUGUUUUUUGGCUAUAAAAACACAAGCCCUUCAAUGCCUAACAACCUCUUGAGCUUGUCCAUUUGAGCACUAAACCUCUCUUCAUGGCCUAUGGAAGAAGCCAAACCAGCUCUUUCCUAGAAGGGUUCUCUCUAAGUCCUCUGCCAUAUCCAGUUCUGCUAAUUCUUGCAGUAAUCUCAAUCUUUCUUGGCAUAUCCUGGUACUCAUCCUAUGACUCAGUUGUGGAAGAAGCUGAAACGCAAUUCAAUUGGUUGCUUUUUGUUACACCAAUAGCACUUCUGCUUCUUGUUAAGUUGCUGUCUUCUAUGGAUCCUGAUUGGCUCUUCUCCAUGUCUCCACUGGGAAACCGCAGGAGAACCUACUAUCCACCUUCGGAGGGAAGCUCACCAUGGGGUGUUGCUGCUUUCAUUGUGCUCCUGCUAGUUUUGCUGCAAUACCAGUCUAUUUUCAGGGACAGCUGGCUCAUAUAGUAUGUUCAGUAUUCUGUUUAAAAAUUUAAAAAAAUUAUGUAAAAA